UUACUGAGACACGGUCCAGACUCCUACGGGAGGCAGCAGUAGGGAAUCUUCCGCAAUGGGCGAAAGCCUGACGGAGCAACGCCGCGUGAGUGAUGAAGGGUUUCGGCUCGUAAAACUCUGUUAUUAGGGAAGAACAUAUGUGUAAGUAACUGUGCACAUCUUGACGGUACCUAAUCAGAAAGCCACGGCUAACUACGUGCCAGCAGCCGCGGUAAUACGUAGGUGGCAAGCGUUAUCCGGAAUUAUUGGGCGUAAAGCGCGCGUAGGCGGUUUCUUAAGUCUGAUGUGAAAGCCCACGGCUCAACCGUGGAGGGUCAUUGGAAACUGGGAAACUUGAGUGCAGAAGAGGAAAGUGGAAUUCCAUGUGUAGCGGUGAAAUGCGCAGAGAUAUGGAGGAACACCAGUGGCGAAGGCGACUUUCUGGUCUGUAACUGACGCUGAUGUGCGAAAGCGUGGGGAUCAAACAGGAUUAGAUACCCUGGUAGUCCACGCCGUAAACGAUGAGUGCUAAGUGUUAGGGGGUUUCCGCCCCUUAGUGCUGCAGCUAACGCAUUAAGCACUCCGCCUGGGGAGUACGACCGCAAGGUUGAAACUCAAAGGAAUUGACGGGGACCCGCACAAGCGGUGGAGCAUGUAGUUUAAUUCGAAGCAACGCGAAGAACCUUACCAAAUCUUGACAUCCUUUGAAAACUCUAGAGAUAGAGCCUUCCCCUUCGGGGGACAAAGUGACAGGUGGUGCAUGGUUGUCGUCAGCUCGUGUCGUGAGAUGUUGGGUUAAGUCCCGCAACGAGCGCAACCCUUAAGCUUAGUUGCCAUCAUUAAGUUGGGCACUCUAGGUUGACUGCCGGUGACAAACCGGAGGAAGG
RNAcentral lists this ribosomal RNA (866 nucleotides) under uncultured bacterium. RNAcentral describes it as "bacterial SSU rRNA". It matches the Rfam family "Bacterial small subunit ribosomal RNA", at positions 316 to 1173 of the family's 1533-position model. The record is from RNAcentral.